UACGGAGGGUGCGAGCGUUGUCCGGAAUCACUGGGCGUAAAGGGCGCGUAGGCGGCGCGGGCAGUCAACGGUGAAAGCUUGGGGCUCAACCCCGAGUCGGCCGUCGAUACUCCCGGGCUGGAGCACUGUAGAGGCAGGUGGAAUUCCGGGUGUAGCGGUGGGAUGCGUAGAGAUCCGGAAGAACACCGGUGGCGAAGGCGGCCUGCUGGGCAGUAGCUGACGCUGAGGCGCGACAGCGUGGGGAGCAAACAGG
This 253-nucleotide ribosomal RNA is filed under the name uncultured bacterium. RNAcentral's name for it is "partial 16S ribosomal RNA". It matches the Rfam family "Bacterial small subunit ribosomal RNA", at positions 524 to 776 of the family's 1533-position model. The record is from RNAcentral.